GGUUGUCGUCAGCUCGUGUCGUGAGAUGUUGGGUUAAGUCCCGCAACGAGCGCAACCCCUAUUGUUAGUUGCCAUCAUUCAGUUGGGCACUCUAGCGAGACUGCCGGUAAUAAACCGGAGGAAGGUGGGGAUGACGUCAAAUCAUCAUGCCCCUUAUGACCUGGGCUACACACGUGCUACAAUGGCUGGUACAACGAGUCGCAAGUCGGUGACGGCAAGCUAAUCUCUUAAAGCCAGUCUCAGUUCGGAUUGUAGGCUGCAACUCGCCUACAUGAAGUCGGAAUCGCUAGUAAUCGCGGAUCAGCACGCCGCGGUGAAUACGUUCCCGGGCCUUGUACACACCGCCCGUCACACCACGAGAGUUUGUAACACCCGAAGUCGGUGAGGUAACCAUUUGGAGCCAGCCGCCUAAGGUGGGAUAGAUGAUUGGGGUGAAGUCGUAACAAGGUAGCCGUAUCGGAAGGUGCGGCUGGAUCACCUCCUUUCUAAGGAA
RNAcentral lists this ribosomal RNA (493 nucleotides) under Streptococcus suis. RNAcentral describes it as "bacterial SSU rRNA". It matches the Rfam family "Bacterial small subunit ribosomal RNA", at positions 1047 to 1533 of the family's 1533-position model. The record is from RNAcentral. Lineage: Bacteria; Bacillati; Bacillota; Bacilli; Lactobacillales; Streptococcaceae.